UGCAGUCGAGCGAUKUWUCUUCCUUCGGGAAUUGGAUUAGCGGCGGACGGGAGAGUAACACGUGKGUAACCCGCCUCAAAGUGGGGGAUAKCCUUCGGAGAGGAAGAUUAAUACCGCAUAACAUAUACCGAAUCGCAUGAUUUUCUUAUCAAAGAUAUAUUGCUUUGAGAUGGACCCGCGGCGCAUUAACUARUUGGUAAGGUAACGGCUUACCAAGGAAGUGAUGCCUARCCGACCUGAGAGGGUGAUCGGCCACUUUGGAACUGUCGGCCGUCCGGCUCCUACAGGAGGCCCCAACGGGGAAUAUUGGSCAAUGGGGGAAACCCUGACGCAGGACGCCGCGUGGGUGAUGAAGGUCUUCGGAUUGUAAAGCCCUGUUUUCUGGGACGAUAAUGACGGUACCAGAGAASGAAGCCRCGGCUAACUACKUGCCCCCAKCCGCGGUUCUACCUAGGUGGCCAGCGUUGUCUGGAUUUACUGGGCSUAAAGGGUGCGUAGGCGGAUGUUUAAGUGGGAUGUGAAUUCCCCGGGCUUAACCUGAGGGCUGCWUUCCAAACUGGAUAUCUAGCCUGCAGGACAGGAAAGGAGAGUUCCUAGUGUCUCGGUGACUUGCGUGCAGA
This 620-nucleotide ribosomal RNA is filed under the name Clostridium sporogenes. RNAcentral's name for it is "partial 16S ribosomal RNA". It matches the Rfam family "Bacterial small subunit ribosomal RNA", at positions 56 to 696 of the family's 1533-position model. Lineage: Bacteria; Bacillati; Bacillota; Clostridia; Eubacteriales; Clostridiaceae. The record is from RNAcentral.